RNAcentral lists this ribosomal RNA (253 nucleotides) under uncultured bacterium. RNAcentral describes it as "partial 16S ribosomal RNA". It matches the Rfam family "Bacterial small subunit ribosomal RNA", at positions 524 to 776 of the family's 1533-position model. The record is from RNAcentral.
UACGUAGGGUGCAAGCGUUGUCCGGAAUUAUUGGGCGUAAAGAGCUCGUAGGCGGUCUGUCGCGUCGGCUGUGAAAACCCGGAGCUCAACUCCGGGCCUGCAGUCGAUACGGGCAGACUGGAGUUCGGCAGGGGAGACUGGAAUUCCUGGUGUAGCGGUGAAAUGCGCAGAUAUCAGGAGGAACACCGGUGGCGAAGGCGGCCCGCUGGGCAGUAGCUGACGCUGACGCGCGACAGCGUGGGGAGCAAACAGG